ACGGGUGAGUAACGCGUGGGAAUCUACCCAUCCCUACGGAAUAACGCAUGGAAACGUGUGCUAAUACCGUAUACGCCCUACGGGGGAAAGAUUUAUCGGGGAUGGAUGAGCCCGCGUUGGAUUAGCUAGUUGGUGGGGUAAGGGCCUACCAAGGCGACGAUCCAUAGCUGGUCUGAGAGGAUGAUCAGCCACAUUGGGACUGAGACACGGCCCAAACUCCUACGGGAGGCAGCAGUGGGGAAUAUUGGACAAUGGGCGCAAGCCUGAUCCAGCCAUGCCGCGUGAGUGAUGAAGGCCUUAGGGUUGUAAAGCUCUUUCACCGGAGAAGAUAAUGACGGUAUCCGGAGAAGAAGCCCCGGCUAACUUCGUGCCAGCAGCCGCGGUAAUACGAAGGGGGCUAGCGUUGUUCGGAAUUACUGGGCGUAAAGCGCACGUAGGCGGACUUUUAAGUCAGGGGUGAAAUCCCGGGGCUCAACCUCGGAACUGCCUUUGAUACUGGAAGUCUGGAGUAUGGAAGAGGUGAGUGGAAUUCCGAGUGUAGAGGUGAAAUUCGUAGA
This 557-nucleotide ribosomal RNA is filed under the name uncultured bacterium. Its description in RNAcentral is "bacterial SSU rRNA". It matches the Rfam family "Bacterial small subunit ribosomal RNA", at positions 102 to 694 of the family's 1533-position model. The record is from RNAcentral.